Molecule: ribosomal RNA, 490 nt
Filed under: uncultured bacterium
Lineage: Bacteria
Description: bacterial SSU rRNA
Rfam family: Bacterial small subunit ribosomal RNA
Source: RNAcentral
AAAUGAAUUGACGGGGACCCGCACAAGCAGCGGAGCAUGUGGUUUAAUUCGAAGCAACGCGAAAAACCUUACCAGGGCUUGACAUCCUUCUGACCGGUCCUUAACCGGACCUUUCUUCGGACAGAAGUGACAGGUGGUGCAUGGUUGUCGUCAGCUCGUGUCGUGAGAUGUUGGGUUAAGUCCCGCAACGAGCGCAACCCUUGUCGUCAGUUACUAACAUUGAGUUGAGGACUCUGACGAGACUGCCGAGGUUAACUCGGAGGAAGGUGGGGAUGACGUCAAAUCAUCAUGCCCCUUAUGUUCUGGGCUACACACGUGCUACAAUGGUCGGUACAAUGAGAAGCAAGAUGGCGACAUGGAGCAAAUCACCAAAACCGAUCUCAGUUCGGAUUGCAGGCUGCAACUCGCCUGCAUGAAGUCGGAGUUGCUAGUAAUCGCGGAUCAGCAUGCCGCGGUGAAUGCGUUCCCGGGUCUUGUACACACCGCCCGU